UGCACAUCAGAGUACACAAGAGCCAUGUCUUGGUGACUUCCGCCUGAGAGCACAUGCACAGCUUCCUGUUUUGGUCUGAUAGCUUCCCCUGGGCUUUCAUAGAUGCAAAAUUACUCACAAAGAGAUGGGUUGCCCGGGCGAAAAAUGAGUCACAGUGACGGGAUCCUCUCGUGUUGCUGGGAAGUGGCAGCGAGCUGAAGCUCCCAGGUGACACAGAUACGGGAAGGAAAGUCCCCCAGGUCUCAGAUGUGAUGGAAUCAGAGACACAGAAAGACAAACAAACAAAACGGGAAGACUUGCCACGAUUCCGAAAAGUUGUCUAAAUUGGUCUCUAUCGAGUAAUAAAAUCACAGGUACUUCUUCA
Long non-coding RNA from Felis catus (domestic cat), 364 nucleotides. RefSeq lists it as uncharacterized. The transcript has 3 exons. The record is from RefSeq and is a predicted model, not a curated record. NCBI's taxonomy places the organism in Eukaryota, Metazoa, Chordata, Mammalia, Carnivora, Felidae.